Molecule: long non-coding RNA, 925 nt
Organism: Biomphalaria glabrata
Lineage: Eukaryota; Metazoa; Mollusca; Gastropoda; Planorbidae
Exons: 2
Source: RefSeq, a predicted model, not a curated record
GGAGCGCUUUACUAUUACAUAUUUCACAAGUCAAUCAUAACGUGGCGACAUAUGAAACUUAGGGUGGGGUAGGGAACGUAAGGAACGGGGAAAGGGAAGGGAAGAGUGUUGACGUGGCCUUUCAAGUGGUCACGUUUUAAAAGCAUGACUUUGUUGACUGACGCAAUCAAUUCUAUGUACAGCUUAUCAAAAGGAUCAGAAUUAAAAUUUCGUUGAUCCUAAUAUGUUUACGGCUUGUGCUGAGGUCGUAAAGUACUAAAUCCCCAUUGCCUUUAUUGUAUGAUCCGCGAGAUAACCUUAGCAGUUUGCAGCUUUAAGACGCGCCAGUUAAGAAAUAAAUCUGAUCGACUUGCAGCCGUGGCCUACAGAACUCCAACUCUCUAAGACAAGAACUGACAGCACCAGUAAGAACAGCCUUGAUUCAAGAUGAGACUUUUCUUCAUUAUCGCCCUGCUCGUUGUCUUCGUCGUCGAGACGACAUCUAACGCCUAUGAAAGAAGAAGAAGAAGGUAUUUGGCUUGCAUGUUGCAGAAUCAGCUAUCCUCCACAUGCGCUGACUGGCUCAGGGGUGUAGUAGAAGAAUUAAGACCCUCACCACGUCGGUGGUGCACUCUUGUCAGGGAUUCUCAGAAUGACUUUUACGAGAAUGGUUGCUCAGCAGAUGACUACACCAUCACGAAUAAUCUCGUGUGCUCUCCAGUAUCCAGACGAGCACGUUGUGUCCCACUUUGAUGACUACUAGAAGCAAAAUUUAAAGUUUCCACCAAUCUAAAGCCAAAAAAAAAAAUAAAGUUUAAAACUAAAUAAUUUUUUCGAAAUAUUUUUAAAAUGUAUUCAAAUCAUAUAAAAGGGGAGGGUGGACAUUUUUUUUAAAUUAAAUGUGCAGAAAUCGAUAUACUACAAUAAAAAGCAAAUUAAUAGUUUA